UCUGGCACUUUCAGUGUCCGAGUUGUAAUUUGAAGAAGGUAUCUUUGGGUCUGGCUCUUGUCUAUGUUUCUUGGAACAGAACGUCACAGAGGGUGAGAAUCCCGUGCGAUGAGAUGUCCCAGACCUAUGUAAAGUUCCUUCGAAGAGUCGAGUUGUUUGGGAAUGCAGCUCUAAGUGGGUGGUAAAUUCCAUCUAAAGCUAAAUAUUGGCGAGAGACCGAUAGCGAACAAGUACAGUGAUGGAAAGAUGAAAAGAACUUUGAAAAGAGAGUGAAAAAGUACGUGAAAUUGUUGAAAGGGAAGGGCUUGAGAUCAGACUUGGUAUUUUGUAUGUUACUCUCUCGGGGGUGGCCUCUACAGUUUACCGGGCCAGCAUCAGUUUGAGCGGUAGGAUAAGUGCAAAGAAAUGUGGCACUGCUUCGGUAGUGUGUUAUAGUCUUUGUCGAUACUGCCAGCUUAGACUGAGGACUGCGGCUUCGGCCUAGGAUGUUGGCAUAAUGAUCUUAAGUCGCCCGUCUUGAAACACGGACCAAGGAGUCUAACGUCUAUGCGAGUGUUUGGGUGUAAAACCCGUACGCGUAAUGAAAGUGAACGUAGGUAGGACCUCCUUUAGGAGUGCACUAUCGACCGAUCCUGAUGUCUUCGGAUGGAUUUGAGUAAGAGCAUAGCUGUUGGGACCCGAAAGAUGGUGAACUAUGCCUGAAUAGGGUGAAGCCAGAGGAAACUCUGGUGGAGGCUCGUAGCGGUUCUGACGUGCAAAUCGAUCGUCGAAUUUGGGUAUAGGGCGAAAGA
Molecule: ribosomal RNA, 791 nt
Filed under: Lodderomyces parapsilosis
Lineage: Eukaryota; Fungi; Ascomycota; Pichiomycetes; Serinales; Debaryomycetaceae
Description: Candida parapsilosis partial large subunit ribosomal RNA
Rfam family: Eukaryotic large subunit ribosomal RNA
Source: RNAcentral